AUUGAACGCUGGCGGCAGGCCUAACACAUGCAAGUCGAGCGGAGCGGCGGACGGGUGAGUAAUGACUAGGAAUCUGCCUGGUAGUGGGGGAUAACGUCCGGAAACGGGCGCUAAUACCACAUCCUAUCAGAUGAGCCUAGGUCGGAUUAGCUAGUUGGUGGGGUAAAGGCCUACCAAGGCGACGAACAGUAACUGGUCGGAGAGGAUGAUCAGUCAAAAGGGAACUAAGACACGGUCCAGACUCCUACGGUAGGCAGCAGUGGGGAAUAUUGGACAAUGGGCGAAAGCCUGAUCACGCCAUGCCGCGUGUGUUAAGAAGGUCUUCGGAUUUUAAAGCACUUUAAGUUGGGAGGCGUUACCAACAGAAUAAGCACCGGCUAACUUCGUGCCAGCAGCCGCGGUAAUAC
This 407-nucleotide ribosomal RNA is filed under the name uncultured bacterium. RNAcentral's name for it is "partial 16S ribosomal RNA". It matches the Rfam family "Bacterial small subunit ribosomal RNA", at positions 30 to 526 of the family's 1533-position model. The record is from RNAcentral.